Molecule: ribosomal RNA, 324 nt
Filed under: uncultured Sandonidae
Lineage: Eukaryota; Cercozoa; Glissomonadida; Viridiraptoridae
Description: SSU rRNA
Rfam family: Eukaryotic small subunit ribosomal RNA
Source: RNAcentral
GAUUUCUGACGAUUUGAUUUCAGGCCGGCCACGGUUUCGUGUGUUAGUGCUUGAAAUCUUCGUCAUCCUUCCAAUGGCUAUUCAUCCUUCUUCAUUGAGGUGGUGAGUGGUAUUGGAUCUUUUACUUUGAAAAAGUUAGAGUGUUUCAAGCAGGCUUUAUGCUACGAAUACAUUAGCAUGGAAUAAUAAUUUAGGACUUCGGUUCUAUUUUGUUGGUUUCUAGGACUGAAGUAAUGAUUGAUAGGGAUAGUUGGGGGUGCUAGUAUUCAGCGGCCAGAGGUGAAAUUCUCGGAUUCGCUGAAGACUAACUUAUGCGAAAGCAUU